This 467-nucleotide ribosomal RNA is filed under the name uncultured bacterium. RNAcentral describes it as "partial 16S ribosomal RNA". It matches the Rfam family "Bacterial small subunit ribosomal RNA", at positions 28 to 507 of the family's 1533-position model. The record is from RNAcentral.
GACGAACGCUGGCGGCGUGCUUAACACAUGCAAGUCGAACGAUGACGACCGAGCUUUCUCGGUCUGAUUAGUGGCGAACGGGUGAGUAACACGUGAGCAACCUGCCCUUCACUCUGGGAUAACCUCGGGAAAUCGGGGCUAAUACCGGAUAUGAGCUCCUGUCGCAUGGCGGGUGUUGGAAAGUUUUUCGGUGAAGGAUGGGUUCGCGGCUUAUCAGUUUGUUUGUGCGGUAGCGGCUCACCAAGGCGAUGACGGGUAGCCGGCCUGAGAGGGCGACCGGCCACACUGGGACUGAGGCACGGCCCAGACUCCUACGGGAGGCAGCAGUGGGGAAUAUUGCACGAUGGGCGAAAGCCUGAUGCAGAGACGCCGCGUGAGGGAUGACGGCCUUCGGGUUGUAAACCUCUUUCAGCAGGGAAGAAGCGAAAGUGACGGUACCUGCAGAAGAAGCGCCGGCUAACUACGUG